CGCGUAGGCGGCCUGGCAAGUCAGUUGUGAAAUCCCUCGGCUUAACCGAGGAACUGCGACUGAUACUGCCAGGCUUGAGUCCCGGAGAGGGUAGUGGAAUUCCCAGUGUAGCGGUGAAAUGCGUAGAUAUUGGGAGGAACACCGGUGGCGAAGGCGGCUACCUGGACGGGUACUGACGCUGAGGCGCGAAAGCGUGGGGAGCAAACA
RNAcentral lists this ribosomal RNA (207 nucleotides) under uncultured bacterium. Its description in RNAcentral is "partial 16S ribosomal RNA". It matches the Rfam family "Bacterial small subunit ribosomal RNA", at positions 568 to 774 of the family's 1533-position model. The record is from RNAcentral.